Molecule: long non-coding RNA, 454 nt
Filed under: Hordeum vulgare
Lineage: Eukaryota; Viridiplantae; Streptophyta; Magnoliopsida; Poales; Poaceae
Description: long non-coding RNA (HVUL_LNC000601)
Source: RNAcentral
ACUUUAUCCCAAUUUCUACCAGCGUCCGCUCAGCAGAAAGAGAGAAAGCGACAAAGAGAAGACAUCACCGCCAUCGCUUCCCCAAGGACAUGCAAGAAGGUUUCCAUCAGCAAUUUCCAAACAGUUUCUGCAAGAAUAACAGGACUACACUUAAAAUCGGGAGUAAGCUACUAUCCAUCCAGACCAAAAAAACAAAAUCAUGUUUAUCUUCGAAGAGCAAACCUAGGUAACAAGAGAUCACUGCAGGGAUAAGCAAGUGGAAAAUAGAACCACAUGGCCAACGGCGCCGGAGCCGACACCCGGCGCCCGAAACCCUAGCCAUGAGGGAAGUCUCGUGGGUGGUCUUUGGUGGUUGCGAUCAGCAUACCUAGCCGGACGGGGGGCACCACGGUGUGAGGGGGCCUCGAGUUGUGCUUGGAGGUGGCGGGAUUCACUGGACGCCGCAUGAAUCAGA